CCUACGGGAGGCAGCAGUGGGGAAUAUUGCGCAAUGGGCGAAAGCCUGACGCAGCGACGCCACGUGAGGGAUGAAGGUCUUCGGAUCGUAAACCUCUGUCAGCAGGGAAGAACGGUCACUGUGCUAAUCAGCAGUGAAUUGACGGUACCUGCAAAGGAAGCACCGGCUAACUCCGUGCCAGCAGCCGCGGUAAUACGGAGGGUGCGAGCGUUAAUCGGAAUUACUGGGCGUAAAGCGCUCGUAGGCGGUAUGUCAAGUCAAGGGUGAAAUCCCCGCGCUCAACGUGGGAACUGCCUUUGAAACUGGCAGACUGGAGUGUGGGAGAGGAUAGUGGAAUUCCAGGUGUAGGAGUGAAAUCCGUAGAUAUCUGGAGGAACAUCAGUGGCGAAGGCGACAAUCUGGCACAUAACUGACGCUGAGGAGCGAAAGCGUGGGUAGCAAACAGGAUUAGAUACCGCAGUAGUC
This 465-nucleotide ribosomal RNA is filed under the name uncultured bacterium. RNAcentral's name for it is "partial 16S ribosomal RNA". It matches the Rfam family "Bacterial small subunit ribosomal RNA", at positions 338 to 795 of the family's 1533-position model. The record is from RNAcentral.